This 26-nucleotide non-coding RNA is filed under the name Homo sapiens (human). The record is from RNAcentral. Lineage: Eukaryota; Metazoa; Chordata; Mammalia; Primates; Hominidae.
GCUUGGAGUGACUUCAGCUGCUGAGA